CGGACGUUUAACGGAUAAAACGGAUGUUGAACGGAUGAGAAACGGACUUCUACCGGACGUAUAAUGGAUAAAACGGAUGAUGAACGGAUCUGAAACGGAUAAAUACCAAUUGAAAAUUUCACGUGAGAAAUGCCAAUUAUUGGUAUGUCAGAUUUCUUAAGGUUCAUGAAUUCAUAAUUGAUCUUAGAGUAUAGGCACGCCUUCACAAUCAAGCAGUUCUUAUUCAGGCCAGACACUGCCCUUUGGCGGAAUUUUGAAGAACAAAGCAAAACCAGUUACACAGAAAC
RNAcentral lists this long non-coding RNA (287 nucleotides) under Mytilus galloprovincialis (Mediterranean mussel). The record is from RNAcentral. Lineage: Eukaryota; Metazoa; Mollusca; Bivalvia; Mytilida; Mytilidae.